GGACGAGAGGUCAGUGGAACUCGAGAUUUUUUUGGGUAUGAUCUUCCGUUCUUCCAUACACGCUGCAAACGUUUGAUCAUCGGCUAAAGCUCAGAAUUUUGGAUUCUGACAGAGGGAGGGAGGGAGGAGAACCACAUGCGGCCACUCCGUCUGAAGAACACGGAAGAAAUGGCGCUUUUGCUGGUCUAUGGAUUCAGUUCUGGCGGGAAACUUUUUAUACGGCCUUCCACACGCCGUGCCGUGCCGUAAGUGUUGAAGGCUUGCUUAUCAUGGGAUGAUGAUCGCGUUAGGAUCGCGGUAUAAGCUGAAGGUUCAUCUCUAGCAACUUGAUACCAUGUCAAAUUAUCAUAGCUAGAGAUGCCGAAUGAACCAAUAUAUUACCGCGCGCCAGAUGAUUUUUUUUCCUUUUUUUACAACAGAGAUAUCCGAGUUUAGCGAUUCAAGGUCGUCUGUAUCGCUCCAUCAGACCCUCACAUGACACAUUCGCUUACUUGCAUUGCAUACUUAGACCCGGAGUUUUGCCGCACUCGUGGGCUGACCGGGAAGAGUGAGGGGUGUUUAUAAUCUUGGAGUUAUGCGCGUGAGGCUUCUUAUUAGAUACUCCCUCCUUUCUAAAAUAAACAUCAUCAAGCUUUUAUACUAAAACUAGUACAAAAUUAAGACAUUUAUGUUGAGACGAAGAGAGUAUUAGAAACCAAUUUCAUUCAUGAUCUUGGUCACCUAGGCAGGACUUGCUUCUUCCACAACUUGAGAACCCAUAACUUCCAUGAGGACUCCCUCAUGAAGCGUUUCCACAA
RNAcentral lists this long non-coding RNA (797 nucleotides) under Hordeum vulgare. Its description in RNAcentral is "long non-coding RNA (HVUL_LNC020467)". The record is from RNAcentral. Lineage: Eukaryota; Viridiplantae; Streptophyta; Magnoliopsida; Poales; Poaceae.